This 484-nucleotide ribosomal RNA is filed under the name uncultured bacterium. RNAcentral describes it as "bacterial SSU rRNA". It matches the Rfam family "Bacterial small subunit ribosomal RNA", at positions 15 to 518 of the family's 1533-position model. The record is from RNAcentral.
GAUCAUGGCUCAGAACGAACGCUGGUGGCGUGUCUAUACAUGCAAGCGAGCGAGGCAGCAAUGCCGAGCGGCGAACGGGUGAGUAACGCGUAAGCAAUCUGCCCCAUAUCAGGAAAUACCCGUGCCAACGCGCGGUUAAUGUCCAGGAGAGUGGCCUUCCGCAUGGAAGGUUGACUAGAGAUUUUAUCGGUAUGGGAUGAGCUUGCGUCCGAUUAGCUAGUUGGCGGGGCAACGGCCCACCAAGGCGACGAUCGGUAGCCGGCCUGAGAGGGUGAUCGGCCACAUUGGGACUGAGAUACGGCCCAGACUCCUACGGGAGGCAGCAGUAGGGAAUAUUGCACAAUGGGGGAAACCCUGAUGCAGCAACGCCACGUGUGGGGAAAAGGAAGCAUCUCGGUGUGUAAACCACUGUCAUGAGGAUAGCCGCCUCGGCGGCUUGAUGUCCUUGAGAGGAAGCACCGGCAAACUUCGUGCCAGCAGCCGC